This 492-nucleotide ribosomal RNA is filed under the name uncultured bacterium. Its description in RNAcentral is "partial 16S ribosomal RNA". It matches the Rfam family "Bacterial small subunit ribosomal RNA", at positions 29 to 507 of the family's 1533-position model. The record is from RNAcentral.
AGUGAACGCUGGCGGUAGGCCUAACACAUGCAAGUCGAACGGCAGCACAGUAAGAGCUUGCUCUUACGGGUGGCGAGUGGCGGACGGGUGAGGAAUACAUCGGAAUCUACUUUUUCGUGGGGGAUAACGUAGGGAAACUUACGCUAAUACCGCAUACGACCUACGGGUGAAAGCAGGGGAUCUUCGGACCUUGCGCGAUUGAAUGAGCCGAUGUCGGAUUAGCUAGUUGGCGGGGUAAAGGCCCACCAAGGCGACGAUCCGUAGCUGGUCUGAGAGGAUGAUCAGCCAUACUGGAACUGAGACACGGUCCAGACUCCUACGGGAGGCAGCAGUGGGGAAUAUUGGACAAAGGGCGCAAGCCUGAUCCAGCCAUACCGCGUGGGUGAAGAAGGCCUUCGGGUUGUAAAGCCCUUUUGUUGGGAAAGAAAAGCAGCAGGUUAAUACCCCGCUGUUCUGACGGUACCCAAAGAAUAAGCACCGGCUAACUUCGUG